UCAUUGAAGGUAGGCCUUAACUCCCCCAAU
RNAcentral lists this non-coding RNA (30 nucleotides) under Rattus norvegicus (Norway rat). Lineage: Eukaryota; Metazoa; Chordata; Mammalia; Rodentia; Muridae. The record is from RNAcentral.